Molecule: ribosomal RNA, 497 nt
Filed under: uncultured bacterium
Lineage: Bacteria
Description: partial 16S ribosomal RNA
Rfam family: Bacterial small subunit ribosomal RNA
Source: RNAcentral
GAUGAACGCUGGCGGCGUGCCUAAUACAUGCAAGUCGAGCGAACGGACGAGAAGCUUGCUUCUCUGAUGUUAGCGGCGGACGGGUGAGUAACACGUGGAUAACCUACCUAUAAGACUGGGAUAACUUCGGGAAACCGUAGCUAAUACCGGAUAAUAUUUUGAACCGCAUGGUUCAAAAGUGAAAGACGGUCUUGCUGUCACUUAUAGAUGGAUCCGCGCUGCAUUAGCUAGUUGGUAAGGUAACGGCUUACCAAGGCAACGAUGCAUAGCCGACCUGAGAGGGUGAUCGGCCACACUGGAACUGAGACACGGUCUAGACUCCUACGGGAGGCAGCAGUAGGGAAUCUUCCGCAAUGGGCGAAAGCCUGACGGAGCAACGCCGCGUGAGUGAUGAAGGUCUUCGGAUCGUAAAACUCUGUUAUUAGGGAAGAACAUAUGUGUAAGUAACUGUGCACAUCUUGACGGUACCUAAUCAGAAAGCCACGGCUAACUACGUG